Molecule: ribosomal RNA, 825 nt
Filed under: uncultured Bacteroides sp.
Lineage: Bacteria; Pseudomonadati; Bacteroidota; Bacteroidia; Bacteroidales; Bacteroidaceae
Description: bacterial SSU rRNA
Rfam family: Bacterial small subunit ribosomal RNA
Source: RNAcentral
CAGCNGUGAGNAAUAUUGGUCAAUGGACGAGAGUCUGAACCAGCCAAGUAGCGUGANGGAUGANUGCCNUAUGGGUUGUAAANUUCUUUUAUAAGGGAAUAAAGUGAGGGACGUGUCCCUUUUUGUAUGUACCUUAUGAAUAAGGAUCGGCUAACUCCGUGCCAGCAGCCGCGGUAAUACGGAGGAUCCAAGCGUUAUCCGGAUUUAUUGGGUUUAAAGGGAGCGUAGGUUGACAUAUAAGUCAGCUGUGAAAGUUUACGGCUCAACCGUGAAAUUGCAGCUGAUACUGUAUGUCUUGAGUGUACAAGAGGUGGGCGGAAUUCGUGGUGUAGCGGUGAAAUGCUUAGAUAUCACGAAGAACUCCAAUUGCGAAGGCAGCUCACUGGGGUACAACUGACACUGAGGCUCGAAAGUGUGGGUAUCAAACAGGAUUAGAUACCCUGGUAGUCCACACAGUAAACGAUGAAUACUCGCUGUUUGCGAUAUACAGUAAGCGGCCAAGCGAAAGCAUUAAGUAUUCCACCUGGGGAGUACGCCGGCAACGGUGAAACUCAAAGGAAUUGACGGGGGCCCGCACAAGCGGAGGAACAUGUGGUUUAAUUCGAUGAUACGCGAGGAACCUUACCCGGGCUUGAAUUGCAGAGGAACAUAGUUGAAAGAUUAUGGCCGCAAGGUCUCUGUGAAGGUGCUGCAUGGUUGUCGUCAGCUCGUGCCGUGAGGUGUCGGCUUAAGUGCCAUAACGAGCGCAACCCUUAUCAUUAGUUACUAACAGGUGAUGCUGAGGACUCUAGUGAGACUSCCGUCGUAAGAUGUGAGGAAGGUGGA